CGUGAGAAUCUGGCUUUGGGUUCGGGACAACCAUUGGAAACGAUGGCUAAUACCGGAUGUGCCGAGAGGUGAAAGAUUAAUUGCCCAAAGAAGAGCUCGCGUCUGAUUAGCUAGUUGGUGGGGUAAGAGCCUACCAAGGCAGCGAUCAGUAGCUGGUCUGAGAGGAUGAUCAGCCACACUGGGACUGAGACACGGCCCAGACUCCUACGGGAGGCAGCAGUGGGGAAUUUUCCGCAAUGGGCGAAAGCCUGACGGAGCAAUACCGCGUGAGGGAGGAAGGCUCUUGGGUUGUAAACCUCUUUUCUUCGGGAAGAACAAAAUGACGGUACCGAAGGAAUAAGCAUCGGCUAACUCCGUGCCAGCAGCCGCGGUAAUACGGAGGAUGCAAGCGUUAUCCGGAAUAAUUGGGCGUAAAGCGUCCGCAGGUGGCGAUUCAAGUCUGCUGUUAAAGGUCCUGGCUCAACUGGGAUAUGGCAGUGGAAACUGAAGAGCUAGAGUGCGGUAGGGGUAGAGGGAAUUCCCGGUGUAGCGGUGAAAUGCGUAGAGAUCGGGAAGAACACCAGUGGCGAAAGCGCUCUACUAGGCCUGCACUGACACUCAGGGACGA
RNAcentral lists this ribosomal RNA (607 nucleotides) under uncultured cyanobacterium. Its description in RNAcentral is "bacterial SSU rRNA". It matches the Rfam family "Bacterial small subunit ribosomal RNA", at positions 116 to 756 of the family's 1533-position model. The record is from RNAcentral. Lineage: Bacteria; Bacillati; Cyanobacteriota.